This 1182-nucleotide ribosomal RNA is filed under the name Triticum aestivum (bread wheat). RNAcentral describes it as "partial small subunit ribosomal RNA". Lineage: Eukaryota; Viridiplantae; Streptophyta; Magnoliopsida; Poales; Poaceae. The record is from RNAcentral.
AUGGCGGCGGAGAGUCCUAGAUCCGCACCACGGCGGACACCGGCCGCCAAGAGCGGCGCGGGCCUGCUCAGCCCCCGGUUCCGCUCGGCGGCGGAGCUGGCCGGCUGGGACGAGGAGUCCAUCCUCCUCGCGGCGCUCGUCGUCGAGGACACCCCGGUCCGCGAGUCGCGCCGCAAGAGGCGGCCCUCCGGCUCCUCUACCGCGGGCGGCAGCGCCGGAUCUAACACCAGGAAGCGGAGGUCGCGGCGGCAGUCGGCGGAUGAGACCCCGAUCCCGCCGGUUGCGCUUGUGCUCGACGACGACGAGAAGCCGAACGACCAUGAAGUUGGCACGAAGGAGGUAAAGCAGGCGGAGGAGGAGAAGGAGAAGGUUUCUGUCGUCGAGGGAAAGGAGAAGUCCGGAUCUGAAGCAGUGGCGAGUGGCGAGCUGCCGUGUAUGGAUCGGCUCAGGGAGGAACUGUCUUGCGCUAUUUGCUUGGACAUCUGCUAUCAGCCAAGUACCACGCCUUGUGGUCACAGCUUUUGCAUGCAAUGCUUAAAACAUGCCGCCUCUAAGUGUGGAAAGCGGUGCCCAAAAUGCCGUCAGUUAAUCAGUAAUUCAAGAUCUUGCACUAUCAACACGGUACUCUGGAACACCAUCCAACUCCUAUUUCCUAGCGAAGUAGAGGCGAGGAAGAGCUCCAUGGCCUCAUCCUCAGCAAGUAAGGACGAUGUGAAGCAAAGCCUGCCAAGAAGCAACAACUAUACAGAAGUUGGCAUUAGGAACACCAGUGGCAGUGGCAGUAGGAGCUUCAUCACACAGGACUACACUAGAAUAGGCAACAGCACCAGGAGCUCCUUAGCAGCAGGCAGCAGAAGAAGUAUGCCAGGCCCAGGAACCAUGAACACCAGCAGUGGGAGCUUUGACACACAGGGUAGGAGCACAAGAAGCAGAGACAGCGGCAGAGGCUUUGUUCGGGCGUCGCAGUUGGUUGCCACCAGGAGUUCAGCGCGGUCAGGCCAAUCUGAUGACGCUUCACUGGCAUACAGGUUGCAGCAGGAGGAGUUCAUGACGGCUUUCGAUAAUGAGGGGGGAGAGAGGCAGCCACAGAACACCAUAUCUACUGCCCGAGCAAAUUUGAGAGCUAUGGCUUCCCGGGCCGAGAGGGCAGUUCUCCUUCGUGCUCGCGGCUGGCCUCUUUAG